GACAGAGGUGGCGAGCGUUGUUCGGAAUUACUGGGUGUAAAGGGCGUGUAGGCGACCCCUUAAGUUGAAUGUAAAAUCUCCCGGCUCAACUGGGAGGGGUCAUUCAAUACUGAGGGGAUUUGAGGGCAGGAGAGGGAAGUGGAAUUCCCGGUGUAGCGGUAAAAUGCGUAGAUAUCGGGAGGAACACCAGUGGCGAAGGCGGCUUCCUGGUCUGUCCCUGACGCUGAGGCGCGAAAGCCAGGGGAGCAAACGGG
RNAcentral lists this ribosomal RNA (254 nucleotides) under uncultured bacterium. Its description in RNAcentral is "partial 16S ribosomal RNA". It matches the Rfam family "Bacterial small subunit ribosomal RNA", at positions 524 to 776 of the family's 1533-position model. The record is from RNAcentral.